Molecule: ribosomal RNA, 276 nt
Filed under: Enterocloster lavalensis
Lineage: Bacteria; Bacillati; Bacillota; Clostridia; Lachnospirales; Lachnospiraceae
Description: [Clostridium] lavalense partial 23S ribosomal RNA
Rfam family: Bacterial large subunit ribosomal RNA
Source: RNAcentral
UUUUGGUUAAGCUAUAAAGAGCGCAGGGUGGAUGCCUUGGCACUAAGAGCCGAUGAAAGACGUGAUAAGCUGCGAAAAGCUUCGGGGAGGAGCAAAUAUCCUUUGAUCCGGAGAUAUCUGAAUGGGGAAACCUGGCUGAGUAACCCUCAGUCGACGUAUGGUGAAUACAUAGCCAUACGCUGGGAACCCGGUGAACUGAAACAUCUAAGUAGCCGGAGGAAGAGAAAGAAAAAUCGAUUCCCAAAGUAGCGGCGAGCGAAAUGGGAAGAGCCCAAA